UUCUUCUUAAGCAUUGUAGGCUUCACCACGGUCACGAACAAUACAAAGUUGGUGGGAAACUGAUGGUGACCACAAGGACAUUCAUCCUCAACUAAGCCAUCAAAAAUGACUUUGUUACUUCGAGUAGUUAUCUCUCCAAAAGAAGCCCGUCAAAUCCUGCUCACAGAGGUACCAGCAUCUGUUGACCAGCUCAUCAAUGUACUUAAAGACAAAAUCCAGUUGGAAGGUGAUUUCUCACUCCAGUUCGAGGACCCUGAUUUUUGGAAUGCCAGUUGACUCAAAUGUCAGAGUUGCCAGAUGGGCGUGCAGUCUUGCACAUUGUGUGUAACACUGGGGCAUCUCCCCUCAACCUAUCUGAUAGCCAUUCCAUUGGCUCAGUGUCCUCCCUUGACACAGCCAGCUUACACUCUGAGGACUGUAAUGAAGCGCAGAGGAGCACUACUCGUUCCUUCCAGGGGAGCUUG
Molecule: long non-coding RNA, 464 nt
Organism: Fundulus heteroclitus (mummichog)
Lineage: Eukaryota; Metazoa; Chordata; Actinopteri; Cyprinodontiformes; Fundulidae
Exons: 3
Source: RefSeq, a predicted model, not a curated record